GACACUUGUAUGGAAAGGGCAAUUAAUAUGGUAGGAUUUGAAGUCAGGCAAGAAAGAAGAGGAAAGCCCACAACUUUACCGCUAAGUCACGCUGACUCUCAGGGUAACGCAGCCAAAACUCGGUGCUCAACUGUGCUUUCUGGGAACUGGGCCAGCUCCGUGUCACCCUUUCACAACACCAGAACGGCUGCAGAGUCCCAUGGAAUUGCAGAAUGCAGUUUGGCUUGUACAUUUACAUUACGAGCUGGUUUUCGACUACGUGAUGACCCGACGUGUCUCUCCUGGCCCCCGUCUCCAUGCUCCCUGAAGCAGGUAUGCAGAGGCACAUCGCUGCAGCUGCAGCAUCUCUCGCCUUCCUCCUCGCACCUCUGCUUAUGCUUCCUGGCACGCUGCCUGCCUCUGGCUUCUGCAUCGCCUUUGGCAUUGGCAUCGUCUGCCCUCAGCUGUGGGAUCAACAGAGCCGUUUCAGCACGGGGCAGCCCGUACCCGUGUUGCRGAGCACAUCAAUUCAAUGCCACUUCACAGGCCUUUUUGAGAAAAAGCUGGAGGAGCAAAUGGGUACUAAGCAGCAAUAUUUACACCCGUGGAGAGGUCACAGCCUUCAGCAACACCUCUCAUUGCUACAGCUCCUGAGAAGCAGUUUUGGAUGCAAAAUCUAUUUCCUAAAAGUUAAUCUUUGCUUGCCAAUAAAUUUCUCUCCCUUCUUCUCCA
Molecule: long non-coding RNA, 711 nt
Filed under: Dromaius novaehollandiae (emu)
Lineage: Eukaryota; Metazoa; Chordata; Aves; Casuariiformes; Dromaiidae
Description: lncRNA (ENSDNVG00000017048.1)
Source: RNAcentral